GAUGAACGCUGGCGGUAUGCUUAACACAUGCAAGUCGAACGGAAGUCUUCGGACUUUAGUGGCGGACGGGUGAGUAACGCGUGAGAAUCUGCCUAUAGGUUGGGGACAACAGUUGGAAACGACUGCUAAUACCCAAUGUGCCGAGAGGUAAAAGCUUUAGUGCCUGUAGAUGAGCUCGCGUCCGAUUAGCUAGUUGGUAAGGUAAGAGCUUACCAAGGCGACGAUCGGUAGCUGGUCUGAGAGGAUGAUCAGCCACACUGGGACUGAGACACGGCCCAGACUCCUACGGGAGGCAGCAGUGGGGAAUUUUCCGCAAUGGGCGAAAGCCUGACGGAGCAAUACCGCGUGCGGGACGAAGGCUUUUGGGUCGUAAACCGCUUUUGUUAGGGAAGAAUAACUGACGGUACCUAACGAAUCAGCAUCGGCUAACUCCGUGCCAGCAGCCGCGGUAAUACGGAGGAUGCAAGCGUUAUCCGGAUUUAUUGGGCGUAAAGCGUCCGCAGGUGGUUCAUCAAGUCUGCUGUCAAAGCGUGGGGCUUAACCCCAUAAAGGCAGUGGAAACUGAUGAACUAGAGUACGGUAGGGGUAGCGGGAAUUCCCAGUGUAGCGGUGAAAUGCGUAGAUAUUGGGAAGAACACCAGCGGCGAAGGCGCGCUACUGGGCCGAAACUGACACUCAUGGACGAAAGCUAGGGGAGCGAAAGGGAUUAGAUACCCCUGUAGUCCUAGCUGUAAACGAUGACAACUAGGUGUUGCGCG
This 758-nucleotide ribosomal RNA is filed under the name uncultured cyanobacterium. RNAcentral's name for it is "bacterial SSU rRNA". It matches the Rfam family "Bacterial small subunit ribosomal RNA", at positions 28 to 829 of the family's 1533-position model. The record is from RNAcentral. Lineage: Bacteria; Bacillati; Cyanobacteriota.